Molecule: ribosomal RNA, 934 nt
Filed under: Moraxella catarrhalis
Lineage: Bacteria; Pseudomonadati; Pseudomonadota; Gammaproteobacteria; Moraxellales; Moraxellaceae
Description: bacterial LSU rRNA
Rfam family: Bacterial large subunit ribosomal RNA
Source: RNAcentral
CAGGCUGCUGCAACUGUUUAUUAAAAACACAGCACUCUGCAAACACGAAAGUGGACGUAUAGGGUGUGAUGCCUGCCCGGUGCUGGAAGGUUAAUUGAUGGGGUUAGCGUAAGCGAAGCUCUUGAUCGAAGCCCCAGUAAACGGCGGCCGUAACUAUAACGGUCCUAAGGUAGCGAAAUUCCUUGUCGGGUAAGUUCCGACCUGCACGAAUGGCAUAAUGAUGGCAGCGCUGUCUCCAGCAGAGACUCAGUGAAAUCGAAAUCGCAGUGAAGAUGCUGUGUACCCGCGGCUAGACGGAUAGACCCCGUGAACCUUUACUACAGCUUUACAUUGAACUUUGACCUAACUUGUGUAGGAUAGGUGGGAGGCUUUGAAGCAGAUACGCCAGUAUUUGUGGAGCCAACCUUGAAAUACCACCCUGGUUAUGUUGGGGUUCUAACUUAGGAUUAACAAAUCCAAGGACAAUGUAUGGUGGGUAGUUUGACUGGGGCGGUCUCCUCCUAAAGAGUAACGGAGGAGUACGAAGGUGCGCUCAGAACGGUCGGAAAUCGUUCAAAGAGUAUAAAGGCAAAAGCGCGCUUAACUGCGAGACCCACAAGUCGAGCAGGUACGAAAGUAGGUCUUAGUGAUCCGGUGGUUCUGUAUGGAAGGGCCAUCGCUCAACGGAUAAAAGGUACUCUGGGGAUAACAGGCUGAUACCGCCCAAGAGUUCAUAUCGACGGCGGUGUUUGGCACCUCGAUGUCGGCUCAUCUCAUCCUGGGGCUGAAGCAGGUCCCAAGGGUAUGGCUGUUCGCCAUUUAAAGAGGUACGCGAGCUGGGUUUAGAACGUCGUGAGACAGUUCGGUCCCUAUCUACCGUGGGCGUUGGAAAUUUGAGAGGAUCUGCUCCUAGUACGAGAGGACCAGAGUGGACGAACCUCUGGUGUUUCGGUUG